Molecule: ribosomal RNA, 425 nt
Filed under: uncultured bacterium
Lineage: Bacteria
Description: bacterial SSU rRNA
Rfam family: Bacterial small subunit ribosomal RNA
Source: RNAcentral
GUGGGGAAUAUUGGACAAUGGGCGCAAGCCUGAUCCAGCCAUGCCGCGUGAGUGAUGAAGGCCUUAGGGUUGUAAAGCUCUUUUGUCCGGGAAGAUAAUGACUGUACCGGAAGAAUAAGCCCCGGCUAACUUCGUGCCAGCAGCCGCGGUAAUACGAAGGGGGCUAGCGUUGUUCGGAAUCACUGGGCGUAAAGCGCACGUAGGCGGACCAUUAAGUCAGGGGUGAAAGCCUGGAGCUCAACUCCAGAACUGCCUUUGAUACUGAUGGUCUCGAGUAUGGAAGAGGUUGGUGGAACUGCGAGUGUAGAGGUGAAAUUCGUAGAUAUUCGCAAGAACACCGGUGGCGAAGGCGGCCAACUGGUCCAUUACUGACGCUGAGGUGCGAAAGCGUGGGGAGCAAACAGGAUUAGAAACCCCUGUAGUCC